This 691-nucleotide ribosomal RNA is filed under the name Cryptococcus sp. JYC1026. Its description in RNAcentral is "eukaryotic LSU rRNA". The stretch from base 82 to 691 matches the Rfam family "Eukaryotic large subunit ribosomal RNA", at positions 1 to 624 of the family's 3401-position model. The record is from RNAcentral. Lineage: Eukaryota; Fungi; Basidiomycota; Tremellomycetes; Tremellales; Cryptococcaceae.
AAGCCUCGAUCUAGCGUAAUAAGUUUCGCUGGUGAGGGUGCGGAUGACUGCUCACAACCGCCUUUGGGCAACUUUUGACUCUGGCCUCAAAUCAGGUAGGACUACCCGCUGAACUUAAGCAUAUCAAUAAGCGGAGGAAAAGAAACUAACAAGGAUUCCCCUAGUAGCGGCGAGCGAAGCGGGAAGAGCUCAAAUUUGUAAUCUGGCGUCCUCAGGGCGUCCGAGUUGUAAUCUAUAGAAACGUUUUCCGUGCCGGACCGUGUCCAAGUCCCUUGGAACAGGGUAUCAAAGAGGGUGACAAUCCCGUACUUGACACGACGACCGGUGCUCUGUGAUACGUUUUCUACGAGUCGAGUUGUUUGGGAAUGCAGCUCAAAAUGGGUGGUAAAUUCCAUCUAAAGCUAAAUAUAGGCGAGAGACCGAUAGCGAACAAGUACCGUGAGGGAAAGAUGAAAAGCACUUUGGAAAGAGAGUUAAACAGUAUGUGAAAUUGUUGAAAGGGAAACGAUUGAAGUCAGUCAUGUCCAUUGGAUUCAGCUGGUUCUGCCAGUGUACUUCCUUUGGACGGGUCAACAUCAGUUUGAGCCGGUGGAUAAUGGCAGAGGGAAUGUGGCACCUUCGGGUGUGUUAUAGCCCUUUGUCGCAUACAUCGGCCCAGACUGAGGAAUGCAGCUCGCCUUUAUGGCCGGGG